UGGGGAAUAUUGCACAAUGGGCGCAAGCCUGAUGCAGCGACGCCGCGUGGGGGAUGAAGGCCUUCGGGUUGUAAACUCCUUUCGCUAGGGAAGAAGCCACUUGUGGUGACGGUACCUGGAUAAGAAGCACCGGCUAACUACGUGCCAGCAGCCGCGGUGAUACGUAGGGUGCGAGCGUUGUCCGGAAUUACUGGGCGUAAAGAGCUCGUAGGUGGUUUGUCGCGUCGUCUGUGAAAUUCCGGGGCUUAACUUCGGGCGUGCAGGCGAUACGGGCAUAACUAGAGUGCUGUAGGGGAGACUGGAAUUCCUGGUGUAGCGGUGAAAUGCGCAGAUAUCAGGAGGAACACCGAUGGCGAAGGCAGGUCUCUGGGCAGUUACUGACGCUGAGGAGCGAAAGCAUGGGUAGCGAACAGGAUUAGAUACCCUGGUAGUCCAUGCCGUAAACGGUGGGCGCUAGGUGUGGGGGUUUUAUUUACGAUUCCCGUGCCGUAGCUAACGCAUUAAGCGCCCCGCCUGGGGAGUACGGCCGCAAGGCUA
RNAcentral lists this ribosomal RNA (537 nucleotides) under uncultured bacterium. RNAcentral's name for it is "bacterial SSU rRNA". It matches the Rfam family "Bacterial small subunit ribosomal RNA", at positions 355 to 896 of the family's 1533-position model. The record is from RNAcentral.